Molecule: ribosomal RNA, 1002 nt
Filed under: Triticum aestivum (bread wheat)
Lineage: Eukaryota; Viridiplantae; Streptophyta; Magnoliopsida; Poales; Poaceae
Description: partial small subunit ribosomal RNA
Source: RNAcentral
AUGGGUAGCGGCGAAAUCUGUGGAGGAUCAGGUGGUGGGAAGCCCAGGCGGUGGCAUCUGAGUGGAGGUCAGCACACCCAGCAGACGUGCAGAAGCAUUGGACGAGAGGAGAGGAGCGAACUUGACGGGGUCGCCCCGCUCCCACAGAAGCACAGGGUGAAAGAUGACCCAUUAAACAGGCCAUAUUGUGGGUAUGAUGGCCAGCCAAUCCAGUGGGCCGUGCCAGGGGUGGUCAAGCUGGCUGACCUAUGUCGGAUCAGGGAAUACAUGCUGCUUCUGUUCGAGACACCCUCUGGCUUUGCAGUCUUCCUUUUUUGUGGGUCACUCAUUAACCCACCUAGAUCUCUGGAGGUUGUUUUGCUGAUGGAGUUCCAAACUUUUGAGGACAAGUCCAGUGCCAUUAAUCAGAACACUGGUGUCAGUGAAAGGCUUGCUGACAUGAUCAGGGCGUGGCUCCCUGGUAAGAAAAUGGCAGUCGGAAAGCCUGAAUAUAAGGAAAUCAUUGAAGAGAGAUUGGAAAUAGAAUGCCUGUAUAAUAAACGGGUGAUGGAGGUAAUGUGGGGCAUACAGAAUUGCAUGCCAGGUUUGAUACCUAUAGAAAAAUCACAGCUGGCUAAAGAGGACCGCCUCCCGAGUAAGGGAUUGCAAAAAUUCUUGAAGUGUUAUGACUGUAAUGUCAAACCAGAGAUGGUCAAUGAACAAAUUGUUGCGACGGCUUCCGCAUUGUCUGAGUGUGAUUCUGUUGAGAUGAAAUAUUCUGUAGUCAUGCGCGAAGCAGGUGCUGUCAUUAAGGAUGUGUCUGGCAUCAGCUGUGAGGGUUGGAGCUUACUGGACAUUGCAACAGCUCUGAAGAUGAUAUGGAAGCCUAAAAAAGUUGGCAAUUCUUCUCUGGUUUCAAAAGAUGAGGCACUAAGAUUGGUGAACGAUGCAUCUAAAUAUGAAGCUCUGGGUAUUAUUGAACAUAAGCUGAUCUUGGUUGACUUCAUUGCAGUCUCAGUCUGA